UACCUGCGGAGGGAUCAUU
Molecule: ribosomal RNA, 19 nt
Filed under: Verticillium albo-atrum
Lineage: Eukaryota; Fungi; Ascomycota; Sordariomycetes; Glomerellales; Plectosphaerellaceae
Also listed under: 3 other names
Description: partial 18S ribosomal RNA
Source: RNAcentral